GCGUUCUAAGGGCGGUGAAGUCAGACCGGAAGGACUGGUGGAGCGCUUAGAAGUGAGAAUGCCGGUAUGAGUAGCGAAAGAAGGGUGAGAAUCCCUUCCACCGAAUAUCUAAGGUUUCCUGAGGAAGGCUCGUCCGCUCAGGGUUAGUCGGGACCUAAGCCGAGGCCGAUAGGCGUAGGCGAUGGACAACAGGUAGAGAUUCCUGUACCAGUGCUAAUUGUUUAACCGAUGGGGUGACACAGAAGGAUAGGGAAUCGCACGAAUGGAAAUGUGCGUCCAAGCAGUGAGUGUGAGAAGUAGGCAAAUCCGCUUCUCGCGAAGCAUGAGCUGUGAUGGGGAAGGAAAUUAAGUACGGAAGUUCCUGAUUUCACGCUGUCAAGAAAAGCCUCUAGGAAGAGUAGUACUGCCCGUACCGCAAACCGACACAGGUAGAUGAGGAGAGAAUCCUAAGGUGAGCGAGAGAACUCUCGUUAAGGAACUCGGCAAAAUGACCCCGUAACUUCGGGAGAAGGGGUGCUCUAUUAGGGUGCAAGCCCGAGAGAGCCGCAGUGAAUAGGCCCAGGCGACUGUUUAGCAAAAACACAGGUCUCUGCAAAACCGUAAGGUGACGUAUAGGGGCUGACGCCUGCCCG
RNAcentral lists this ribosomal RNA (632 nucleotides) under Listeria monocytogenes. RNAcentral's name for it is "bacterial LSU rRNA". It matches the Rfam family "Bacterial large subunit ribosomal RNA", at positions 1236 to 1865 of the family's 2925-position model. The record is from RNAcentral. Lineage: Bacteria; Bacillati; Bacillota; Bacilli; Caryophanales; Listeriaceae.